GAAAAACCAGGAAUUUACAAGCAACUAUAACAGAACAAUUGAAAACACCGGCCUUGAUAAUUCACAGGGGUGCAAAUGGGACUAAUCAAACCGUAAAAAGCCUAAUUUAUUGGGACAAAGAUGAAUAUUGUGGAGUAUUUACACUACGAAAAGGGGACAAACUUCAUUGUGAGCUUCACGCUUGGAAUGAGACACUUCAUGGAUAUUUCUCAGUUUUUUGGAAUUUUUAUAGCAUCUGCAUAGACAAGUACGAGGAAGCUUGUCGGCACCAGAAAUCGCAUGUAGUUUCACUUCCUUUGAUCCCCUGCCUACAGGAAGUGAAAAAUGGAUUUGGGUAAAACAUCGAUGAGGAAUACGGACGCGGAAAUAAAAUUGUAAUGCAAGAUCCCAAA
RNAcentral lists this long non-coding RNA (392 nucleotides) under Dermacentor andersoni. RNAcentral describes it as "uncharacterized LOC126545902". Lineage: Eukaryota; Metazoa; Arthropoda; Arachnida; Ixodida; Ixodidae. The record is from RNAcentral.